RNAcentral lists this transfer RNA (74 nucleotides) under Oribacterium sp. RNAcentral describes it as "tRNA-Trp". It matches the Rfam family "tRNA". Rfam says of the family: Transfer RNA (tRNA) molecules are approximately 80 nucleotides in length. Their secondary structure includes four short double-helical elements and three loops (D, anti-codon, and T loops). Lineage: Bacteria; Bacillati; Bacillota; Clostridia; Lachnospirales; Lachnospiraceae. The record is from RNAcentral.
AGGGGUUUCAUCCAAUGGUAAGAUAUCGGUCUCCAAAACCGCUCAUGGGGGUUCGAAUCCCUCAACCCCUGCGA